AGUGAACGCUGGCGGUAUGCCUAACACAUGCAAGUCGAACGGCAGCACAGUAAGCUCUUGCUCUUACGGUUGGCGAGUGGCGGACGGGUGAGGCAUACAUCGGAAUCUACUUUUUCUUGGGUGAUAUCGUAGGGAAACUUACGCUACUACCGCAUACGUCCUACGGGUGAAAUCAGUGGUUCUUGGGACCUUUCGCGAUUGAUUGAGCCGAUGUCGGAUUAGCUAGUUGGCUGGGUAAAGGCCCACCAAGGCGACGAUCCGUAGCUGGUCUGAGAGGAUGAUCAGCCACACUGGAACUGAGACACGGUCCAGACUCCUACGGGAGGCAGCAGUGGGGAAUAUUGGACAAUGGGCGCAAGCCUGAUCCAGCCAUACCGCGUGAGUGAAGAAGGCCUUCGGGUUGUAAAGCCCUUUUGUUGGGAAAGAAAAGCAGCAGGUUAAUACCCCGCUGUUCUGACGGUACCCAAAGAAUAAGCCCCGGCUAACUUCGUG
RNAcentral lists this ribosomal RNA (492 nucleotides) under uncultured bacterium. Its description in RNAcentral is "partial 16S ribosomal RNA". It matches the Rfam family "Bacterial small subunit ribosomal RNA", at positions 29 to 507 of the family's 1533-position model. The record is from RNAcentral.